GCCCCCGCCGCCUCUGUACCAGGGAGAGCGCCUGGAAGGCGCCGCUGCCUCUCUCUCCCUACGUGCCCACCUGCCUCUAGGAACUGCUUGGAGAUUACUUGGCAAAGUGUGAUGGUGCUACACAGCCCGUAAGAAAUUUGUAAUCACCCAUCUAACAAGUACCUAGGCUGGAUCUGCAAACUGCGUGGAAAUUUCUAGCACGUGUGGGAAGAAGCAUGAUCAACAUUUCUUAGACCAUUUCAGGUCCGGAAGUGGCCCUCUUGCAGUUUAGCAGGACAUAUAUUCUCAAGAGAUUCUGAGUAGCCACAGAACUUACAGAAGUUGUCAUUAUUUACCUACUGCUCAGAAAAACAGGACACUGUCUGUGGGCCAAUUUGCUAAGAAAAAAAUUUAAAUAAUAUGUAAAUAAAUGUAAAUAAUGUAGAAGCACAAUCUGCCUUUGCUUUUUCUUAUAAAUAUAAGAAAAUAUUUUCAUUAAAAUAACCAAAAAAUAGACAAGAUUUACCCAGCACCUUUAGAAUGAAAGUAACGUGGCAGUGCUUCACUGGGAAAAAGUGAAGCUGAAUGAGAUGAAAUUUAGAAACUGAGAAAUGGUCAGGAAAAAACAAGAAUUCAAAAAGCAAAUAGAAGUAUUAUUUGACUGAAAAACCUGAGGCUAAAAUAUGAAAUCAAGCUAAUUUCUGAGGUAUCUACUUAUUCUUUGUUUCAAGACAAGUC
This 717-nucleotide long non-coding RNA is filed under the name Homo sapiens (human). RNAcentral describes it as "HSALNT0293443". The record is from RNAcentral. Lineage: Eukaryota; Metazoa; Chordata; Mammalia; Primates; Hominidae.